CCUACGGGGGGCAGCAGUGAGGAAUAUUGGUCAAUGGCCGCAGGGCUGAACCAGCCAAGUCGCGUGAGGGAUGACGGUCCUAUGGAUUGUAAACCUCUUUUGUCAGGGAGCAAAGAGCGCCACGUGUGGCGCUUUGCGAGUACCUGAAGAAAAAGCAUCGGCUAACUCCGUGCCAGCAGCCGCGGUAAUACGGAGGAUGCGAGCGUUAUCCGGAUUUAUUGGGUUUAAAGGGUGCGCAGGCGGAAUGUCAAGUCAGCGGUAAAAUUUCGGGGCUCAACCCCGUCGUGCCGUUGAAACUGGCGUUCUUGAGUGAGCGAGAAGUAUGCGGAAGGCGUGGUGUAGCGGUGAAAUGCAUAGAUAUCACGCAGAACUCCGAUUGCGAAGGCAGCAUACCGGCGCUCAACUGACGCUCAUGCACGAAAGCGUGGGUAUCGAACAGGAUUAGAUACCCCUGUAGUC
This 459-nucleotide ribosomal RNA is filed under the name uncultured bacterium. RNAcentral's name for it is "partial 16S ribosomal RNA". It matches the Rfam family "Bacterial small subunit ribosomal RNA", at positions 338 to 795 of the family's 1533-position model. The record is from RNAcentral.